UGCAUUUGAAGCCCAUGAGGAUGAGAACCUCCGGGGGCAGGGAGGUUCGACUCGAGCGAAGCGAGAGAACGUUGCGCCAGCAACGGCCCGCAGGGCGAGCCACGAAGUGGCGAGUAAUCCUCUAUCACCGACCA
RNAcentral lists this small RNA (134 nucleotides) under Escherichia coli. RNAcentral's name for it is "RtT sRNA". It matches the Rfam family "RtT RNA". From Rfam's summary of the family: This family represents a bacterial cis-regulatory element known as RtT RNA. RNAcentral also lists the same sequence under 1 other name. Lineage: Bacteria; Pseudomonadati; Pseudomonadota; Gammaproteobacteria; Enterobacterales; Enterobacteriaceae. The record is from RNAcentral.